RNAcentral lists this long non-coding RNA (1831 nucleotides) under Micromonas commoda. RNAcentral's name for it is "long non-coding RNA (MCOM_LNC000404)". Lineage: Eukaryota; Viridiplantae; Chlorophyta; Mamiellophyceae; Mamiellales; Mamiellaceae. The record is from RNAcentral.
AGCUGGCGGUUAUAGCAUGGCCACUUCUGACUGUGACCUGACGAUCUACGACUGCGGCGGCCUGAACAUCACUGUGGCGAUGUACGAGGCUGUGCUGCACGGCUGCACGGCCGACGCUGGCACCGCGGCUUCUUCGGCAUUCCUUUGCGGCACCAUGGAGGUGACCGCAGCUCAGCGCACUGCUGUGCUUGGAGGGUGCACUCAGAAAUGCUUGGGUGGCGCUGUCGAGUUGAGCGGCGGUGCGGCACAGGGCGGCGUUGGCGGCGCGGUGGUCGUGACGGGCGGUGCGACGAACAGCACUAACCCGUACGCUCGCGGCGGUCAUGUUGAGGUCCGUGGUGGCACAGCUGCACUUGGCAGCGGUGGCGCAGUUUUGUUGUCGAGCGGCCGCAGCGCGCAGCGCUCAAGUGGUGAGGUGCUGGUGCGUACGGAGACGAGCGGCAACGACGGCGUGAGCGGCGAGAUCAGCGUCGAGACCGGUGCAUCCGCGGUCGGAGACAGCGGCGGGAUCACGCUGGCCACGGGGUCGGCGAUGACCGGCGCUGGCGGGGACGUGAACCUGCUGGUGGGAUCUGGCGACACCGAGAACGGCGGAGCUGUGGUGAUAAAAGCUGGCGAGAGCCACGCCGACUCGAAGAAGGGCGGCGGUGUGUUCAUCACAUCUGGCGCCGGCACGAGCGCCCAGGAAGGCUCUGGCGGCGAGCUCGUCAUGAUGGCGGGCAACGCUGAGGGCAGCUUGGCUGGCGACGGAGGCCGAGUUGAAAUCAGAGGUGGCAAGGCCGUUGGUGGCAGGGGUGGCGACGUGGCGGUGUCUGGUGGCAACAGCUACUCGGGCGACGGCGGCGCGCUGAUCCUGCAGGGCGGCUCGUCCGAAACCGGCACCGGCGGCGACGUGAUCCUCGACGCGGGCGAGAGCGGCACCCACGAGGAGUCCAAGGAGGGCAUGAUUCGCAUUGCUCCCACAAGUGCAUCCUACGUCAGGAUUGGCCGCAGCGGAUCCAAGACUGUGCGCACAGAUGUUUUUGGUGAUCUGACUGUGCACGGCAGCUUCGUGUCGACAAACAGCAUGGUGUUCCAGGACACGUACGCAGAGCGCGUGCACGUGAGCCAAGAGCAGGACCUGGUCAUCCAGGAAGAGACGCGUGUGCCAAAGAUCACGGGUCUGGACUCCGAAGAUGCGUCUGCUACCCCCACGAGCACGCUGACUCUUGACGCGGGCCAGGGCGGCAGUGACCAGUGGAUUGAGAUCGGUCCUUGGGAGGCUGAGUACAUCACCAUCGGUGGCAAGAACAACAAUGCCUCCCACGGUGCCCGCGACCAGUCUGCGCUGCUCCUGAGACAGGGCUACGAUGAGGCUGACAAGCGCCUGCAGAUGAACCGCACAGGAGCAAUCCUGAUGCAGGCUGCGGCGUCCAUGCCAAUUCUGAUCCACACCAACCCGACGCGCGGUACCAAUAACACCGGCGGCGACAUCAACAUGCUGGUCGGGUCCGGCGACACCGGGCACGGCGGCAACAUGACGCUGACGUCCGGCGACACCGUGGACGCUCGCCACAGAGGAGGCUUCCUGACACUCACGGCUGGUGGAAACAACAACACCGUGGGUGGCCAGGGCGGAGUGGUGAAGGUGACCGGCGGUUUUGCUGGUGGCACGACCGACUGCGAUCUGGACUACUACGAGUGCGGCGGCCUGAACAUCACCGUGGCGAUGUACGAGGCUGUGCUGCACGGCUGCACGGCCGACGCUGGCACCGCGGCUUCUUCGGCAUUCCUUUGCGGCACCAUGGAGGUGACCGCAGCUCAGCGCACUGCUGUGCUUGGAGGGUGCACC